AGUUAUGGCUCAGGAUGAACGCUAGCUACAGGCUUAACACAUGCAAGUCGAGGGGUAGCAGGGUAGCAAUACCGCUGACGACCGGCGCACGGGUGAGUAACACGUAUCCAACUUCCCAUAACUCAGGGAUAGCCUUUCGAAAGAAAGAUUAAUACCUGAUAGUACUUUUUCAAGGCAUCUUGAGAAAGUUAAAGAUUUAUUGGUUAUGGAUGGGGAUGCGUUCCAUUAGAUAGUUGGUGAGGUAACGGCUCACCAAGUCUUCGAUGGAUAGGGGUUCUGAGAGGAAGGUCCCCCACAUUGGUACUGAGACACGGACCAAACUCCUACGGGAGGCAGCAGUGAGGAAUAUUGGUCAAUGGGCGAGAGCCUGAACCAGCCAAGUAGCGUGAAGGAUGAAGGUCCUAUGGAUUGUAAACUUCUUUUAUAGUAGAAUAAAGUGAUCCACGUGUGGAUUUUGUAUGUAUACUAUGAAUAAGGAUCGGCUAACUCCGUGCCAGCCGCAGC
This 504-nucleotide ribosomal RNA is filed under the name uncultured bacterium. Its description in RNAcentral is "bacterial SSU rRNA". It matches the Rfam family "Bacterial small subunit ribosomal RNA", at positions 15 to 518 of the family's 1533-position model. The record is from RNAcentral.